This 274-nucleotide ribosomal RNA is filed under the name uncultured bacterium. RNAcentral describes it as "partial 16S ribosomal RNA". It matches the Rfam family "Bacterial small subunit ribosomal RNA", at positions 523 to 796 of the family's 1533-position model. The record is from RNAcentral.
AUACGAGGGGUGCAAGCGUUAAUCGGAAUUACUGGGCGUAAAGCGUUCGUAGGCGGUUUGUUAAGCAAGAUGUGAAAGCCCAGGGCUCAACCUUGGAACUGCAUUUUGAACUGGCAAACUAGAGUACUGUAGAGGGUGGUGGAAUUUCCAGUGUAGCGGUGAAAUGCGUAGAGAUUGGGAGGAACAUCAGUGGCGAAGGCGGCCACCUGGACAGAUACUGACGCUGAGGAACGAAAGCGUGGGGAGCAAACAGGAUUAGAAACCCUAGUAGUCC